AUGCUUUGCUUAAUUAAUUAUAUUUUGGGUCACACUUUGUGGUGUGUCACUUUACAAGUGAAGCUAGAAAGAUUGCUCCUCUCGCUAUCCUUUGCUCCUUUCGUGGUGUAUUCCUUUGCUCCUUUCGUGGUGUAUUUGGACGUUGGGGAACUACAUUA
Lycium barbarum (goji berry) is the source of this 158-nucleotide small nucleolar RNA. RefSeq annotates it as small nucleolar RNA snoR136. Lineage: Eukaryota; Viridiplantae; Streptophyta; Magnoliopsida; Solanales; Solanaceae. The record is from RefSeq and is a predicted model, not a curated record. The transcript has a single exon.